RNAcentral lists this ribosomal RNA (700 nucleotides) under uncultured bacterium. RNAcentral describes it as "bacterial SSU rRNA". It matches the Rfam family "Bacterial small subunit ribosomal RNA", at positions 8 to 754 of the family's 1533-position model. The record is from RNAcentral.
AGAGUUUGAUCCUGGCUCAGAGCGAACGCAGGCGGCAGGCCUAGCACAUGCAAGUCGAACGGAUCCUCCGGGAUUAGUGGCGGACGGGUGAGUAACACGUGGGAACGUGCCCUUCGGUUCGGAACAACUCAGGGAAACUUGAGCUAAUACCGGAUGUGCCCUUCGGGGGAAAGAUUUAUCGCCAUUGGAGCGGCCCGCGUCUGAUUAGCUAGUUGGUGGGGUAAAGGCCCACCAAGGCGACGAUCAGUAGCUGGUCUGAGAGGAUGAUCAGCCACAUUGGGACUGAGACACGGCCCAAACUCCUACGGGAGGCAGCAGUGGGGAAUCUUGCGCAAUGGGCGAAAGCCUGACGCAGCCAUGCCGCGUGAAUGAUGAAGGUCUUAGGAUUGUAAAAUUCUUUCACCGGGGACGAUAAUGACGGUACCCGGAGAAGAAGCCCCGGCUAACUUCGUGCCAGCAGCCGCGGUAAUACGAAGGGGGCUAGCGUUGCUCGGAAUUACUGGGCGUAAAGGGAGCGUAGGCGGACUGUUAAGUUAGAGGUGAAAGCCCAGGGCUCAACCUUGGAAUUGCCUUUGAUACUGGCAGUCUUGAGUACGGAAGAGGUAUGUGGAACUCCGAGUGUAGAGGUGAAAUCCGUAGAUAUUCGGAAGAACACCAGUGGCGAAGGCGACAUACUGGUCCGUUACUGACGCUGAGGCUC